This is a long non-coding RNA of Hirundo rustica (Barn swallow), 351 nucleotides long. RefSeq lists it as uncharacterized. The transcript has 3 exons. Lineage: Eukaryota; Metazoa; Chordata; Aves; Passeriformes; Hirundinidae. The record is from RefSeq and is a predicted model, not a curated record.
GUGGAAUUUGUCAGCUCCUAGGGGGCCACAGUAAGCAUCCUUCUGACUAACAGUCUUUGAGCACUCUGUCAGGAGUUAUGGGAAUUUGGAGUUAUGUGCUGCUGUUGAAUGGCUCAGCAAAAUAUGGUUGUAAAGUCAUCUUUGGUCUUCUCUAAAGGACCAUCAAGAGAUGAGAGACAUCUUUGACAUGGCAGUAUGAAAGGCAGGAAUUCUCCAGCACACCAGGAGCUCUGCCUGCUGGCUCUUCUGAUUGCAAGCAUAAAAUGGAGUCCUGCAUCCCUGAAAAUGAGACAGUGUAAAUUCUGUUGAUCUUUCUUCCCAAGAUCAUGCAUUAACAGCAUUCUGGCAGGA